AAACGUAGGGGGCGAGCGUUGUCCGGAAUUACUGGGCGUAAAGGGCACGUAGGCGGUUAUCCAAGUCAGGGGUGAAAACCUUGGGCUCAACUCAGGGCCUGCCUCUGAAACUGGGUAACUUGAGGGCAGGAGAGGGGAGUGGAAUUCCCAGUGUAGCGGUGAAAUGCGUAGAUAUUGGGAGGAACACCAGUGGCGAAGGCGGCUCUCUGGCCUAACCCUGACGCUGAGGCGCGAAAGCGUGGGGAUCAAACAGGAUUAGAUACCCGCGUAGUCCCUGAGCGGGCUGG
RNAcentral lists this ribosomal RNA (287 nucleotides) under uncultured prokaryote. RNAcentral describes it as "partial 16S ribosomal RNA". It matches the Rfam family "Bacterial small subunit ribosomal RNA", at positions 523 to 819 of the family's 1533-position model. The record is from RNAcentral.